Molecule: non-coding RNA, 123 nt
Organism: Jackrogersella minutella
Lineage: Eukaryota; Fungi; Ascomycota; Sordariomycetes; Xylariales; Hypoxylaceae
Source: the annotation of a GenBank genome assembly
GGCACUGUGGCGGAGCGGUCUAACGCGUAUGACUCGAAUUUAUGAUUUUACUUAAGUACUAUCAUGUAGAUACGAUAGUAUCAUAUCUCCUAGGAGGCGCCCGUUCGAAUCGGGCCAGUGUCG